Molecule: ribosomal RNA, 425 nt
Filed under: uncultured Thermoplasmatales archaeon
Lineage: Archaea; Methanobacteriati; Thermoplasmatota; Thermoplasmata; Thermoplasmatales
Description: bacterial SSU rRNA
Rfam family: Archaeal small subunit ribosomal RNA
Source: RNAcentral
CCUAUGGGGGGCAGCAGGCGCGAAAACUUCACAAUGGGGGCAACCCCGAUGAGGGAAUUCCAAGUGCUAGCACUUUUUGUGUUAGCUGUUCUAUUGUCUAAAAAACAAGAGAAGUAAGGGCCGGGUAAGACGGGUGCCAGCCGCCGCGGUAAUACCCGCGGCCCGAGUGGUGGUCGAUAUUAUUGAGCCUAAAACGUUCGUAGCCGGUCUUGUAAAUCCUUGGGUAAAUCGGCCAGCUUAACUGUCCGAAGUCCGGGGAGACUGCAAGACUUGGGAUCGGGAGAGGUCAGAGGUACUUCUGGGGUAGGGGUAAAAUCCUGUAAUCCUAGAAGGACCACCGGUGGCGAAGGCGUCUGACUAGAACGAAUUCGACGGUGAGGAACGAAGCCCUGGGGCGCAAACGGGAUUAGAUACCCCGGUAGUCC